This 71-nucleotide transfer RNA is filed under the name Salmo salar (Atlantic salmon). It matches the Rfam family "tRNA". Rfam says of the family: Transfer RNA (tRNA) molecules are approximately 80 nucleotides in length. Lineage: Eukaryota; Metazoa; Chordata; Actinopteri; Salmoniformes; Salmonidae. The record is from Rfam by way of RNAcentral.
GCAUUAGUGGUUCAGUGGUAGAAUUCUCGCCUGCCAUGCAGGAGGCCUGGGUUCGUUUCCCGGCGAAUGCG